This 430-nucleotide ribosomal RNA is filed under the name uncultured bacterium. RNAcentral describes it as "partial 16S rRNA". It matches the Rfam family "Bacterial small subunit ribosomal RNA", at positions 422 to 841 of the family's 1533-position model. The record is from RNAcentral.
GUUGUAAACCCCUGUCAGGUGGGACGAAUCCCGUAUUGGCGAAUAGGCAUUACGNNUGACGGUACCACCAGAGGAAGCUCCGGCUAACUCCGUGCCAGCAGCCGCGGUAAUACGGGGGGAGCGAGCGUUGUUCGGAAUNACUGGGCGUAAAGGGCGCGUAGGCGGCCUGGUAAGUCGCGUGUGAAAGGCCGGGGCUCAACCCCGAGCANUGCACGUGAUACUGCNUGGCUCGAGAGAGGUAGNGGNGAGCGGAAUUCCCGGUGUAGCGGUGGAAUGCGUAGAUAUCGGGAAGAACACCUGUGGCGAAGGCNGCUCGCUGGNCCUUUUCUGACGCUGAANCGCGAAAGCGUGGGGAGCAAACAGGAUUAGAUACCCUGGUAGUCCACGCCGUAAACGAUGGGUACUAGGUGUUGGGAGGAUUGACCCUUUC